Molecule: non-coding RNA, 54 nt
Organism: Salmo salar (Atlantic salmon)
Lineage: Eukaryota; Metazoa; Chordata; Actinopteri; Salmoniformes; Salmonidae
Source: Rfam
UGCAUUCACUACUGUAAGUCGCUCUGGGUAAGCGUGUCUGCUAAAUGACUAAAA